This 460-nucleotide ribosomal RNA is filed under the name uncultured bacterium. RNAcentral describes it as "partial 16S ribosomal RNA". It matches the Rfam family "Bacterial small subunit ribosomal RNA", at positions 338 to 795 of the family's 1533-position model. The record is from RNAcentral.
CCUACGGGUGGCAGCCGUGAGGACUAUUGGUCAAUGGGCGCGAGCCUGAACCAGCCAAGUAGCGUGAAGGAUGACUGCCCUACGGGUUGUAAACUUCUUUUAUCAAGGAAUAAAGUCAGGCACGUGUGCCUUUUUGUAUGUACUUUAUGAAUAAGGAUCGGCUAACUCCGUGCCAGCAGCCGCGGUAAUACGGAGGAUCCGAGCGUUAUCCGGCUUUAUUGGGGUUAAAGGGUGCGUAGAUGGGUUGUUAAGUCAGUGGUGAAAGCUUGCGGCUCAACCGUAAAAUUGCAAUUGAUACUGGCAGUCUUGAGUGCGAGUGAGGUAUGCGGAAUGCGUGGUGUAGCGGUGAAAUGCUUAGAUAUCACGAAGAACGCCGAUUGCGAAGGCAGCUUACUAACCUGCCACUGACGCUGAGGCACGAAAGUGUGGGUAUCAAACAGGAUUAGAUACCCUUGUAGUC